Long non-coding RNA from Oncorhynchus gorbuscha (pink salmon), 1698 nucleotides. RefSeq lists it as uncharacterized. NCBI's taxonomy places the organism in Eukaryota, Metazoa, Chordata, Actinopteri, Salmoniformes, Salmonidae. The record is from RefSeq and is a predicted model, not a curated record. The transcript is spliced from 3 exons.
CCUCCAUCUGCAACUGGAUCCUGGACUUCCUGACGAGCUGCCCCCCAGGUGUUAAGGAUUUCGUUUCUGAAACAGAAGUCCUCUGCCUUGUGGCCAUCUCUGGCACCCCUGUUGCAUUUUUCAGCCACAGGGGACGCUGUCGGCUGCGAGAAAAUUUGUGCAGGAACGUUUUGAAAGGAGGUCAGUGUUUAUUUUGCAACUCAAUUGCAUCUUUGGUAAGGAUACAGUGAGAUCUGUCUCUGUGAGCAAACGUUUCUAAAUGUGUUCAUGUUUCAGUCCACAAACAAAUCUAACCCUUAAUGUCUCCAAACUGGCAAUGCUCAUACAGUUUCUUCAACUCUGCUGCAUAUGUAUUAACACCCUUGGGGGAAAAACUCUUGCUUGGUAGGUGUUUAAUCUCUAUUCCUGUAGUGUUUUUUACCUUCUAAAUGGAAUCAAGCCCCUGCACUUUACACUUCAACUUAAACUUGGUACCCUGAACUAACUGUCACAAGAGACUAACUUCAACAGGACAGCAGAGAUGCUAACUAUCCGUCCUGUCCUCUGGAUUCCAGAUCUCUCUCCAGUACAAUGACAUUGGUGCGUGGAAACAGGUGUUUAGUGGCACUCUGAUCAACACUGAUUGGGUUGUCACGGCUGCCCUCUGCAUUAUGUACUGAACACAUCAACACAAGCCAUACAACACUUUGGUGGCCUUACCUUACAUAAACACAAUAUCGUUUGCACGUGUAAUAGCCCUCAAUAACAUUUGGUGCCAGUAGAUGUUUGACUAUUCAGUAGCUUAGCUGUGGUUGGUUACACAUGUAGCAGUAGCAGGACCUACAGAGUAGAGUUGGGCAAGCACAACCUGAAAGAGACUGAGGAGGCCUCAAUACACAAGCUACAGUACACAUCAGGUCUAUCUAUGACCAUAUGACUAUUUCAAUAUGAAGCAACAACAGUAAUUCCAACCAAAUACCAGCAGCAGUAGUUUGUUCACUGCACCAGUAAACACUGACAGUAACAAUACAAUCACAGCUAGCACACUCAAUUACCAGACUUACUAAACCUACUGUUAAUUUUGGAAGAUCGCUGUCAAACUAUACGUCUUUAUGUGUGUAUUGGGAGCUCAUUGGGGGUUAUAACCGUGUGUCUUCUGCAGUAAUGACAUUGCCCUGAUCAAGUUGGAGACCAUGUGACCGUCACUGACUCCAUCAUGGCUGCCUGUCUUCCUGAGGCUGGCUUCAUCCUGCCCCACAAGGAGCCCUGCUACAUCAACGGCUGGGGACGUCUCUACAGUGUCUGCACCUCUUCUGCAUUUUGUCUGUGUGGAAACCUAGUUUAUAUGUUUCCCGGUCCAACCCUGUGGGUACUAUGGUCCAAAAACUCUUACCAAGCUGGAGGCCCCUUCACCGACAUCCUGCAGCAGGCCCUCGUGCCUGUCGUUGACCAUGCAAGCUGUACACAGCCUAAAUGGUGCAGUGUCCUGACCACUGACAUGAUGGUCUGCACUGGAGGAGAUGGCAUCGUGGCCCGGUGCAACAGGAGUCAUAACAAACCCGUGUUCACCUUGAAAAAUGUUUAUGUCAAAAACAUUUGAGAAUAAUUACAUUGGGGCAAAAAAGUAUUUAGUCAGCCACCAAUUGUGGAACUUUUUGGUAAAAACUCAACUCGUCGUGUUUGGAGGACAAAGAAUGCUGAGUUGCAUCUAAAAAACAC